This 401-nucleotide ribosomal RNA is filed under the name uncultured Methanosaeta sp. RNAcentral's name for it is "bacterial SSU rRNA". It matches the Rfam family "Archaeal small subunit ribosomal RNA", at positions 937 to 1338 of the family's 1478-position model. The record is from RNAcentral. Lineage: Archaea; Methanobacteriati; Methanobacteriota; Methanomicrobia; Methanotrichales; Methanotrichaceae.
CGACAGCAAUAUGAAGGUCAGGCUGAAGACCUUACCGAUUAGCUGAGAGGUGGUGCAUGGCCGUCGUCAGUUCGUACUGUGAAGCAUCCUGUUAAGUCAGGCAACGAGCGAGACCCACGUCCACAGUUGCCAGCAUACCCUCCGGGGUGAUGGGUACACUGUGGAGACCGCCGCUGCUAAAGCGGAGGAAGGAGUGGGCAACGGUAGGUCAGUAUGCCCCGAAUCUCCCGGGCUACACGCGGGCUACAAUGGUUGGUACAAUGGGCAUCUACCCCGAAAGGGGAAGGAAAUCUCUUAAAGCCAAUCGUAGUUCGGAUUGAGGGCUGCAACUCGCCCUCAUGAAGCUGGAAUCCGUAGUAAUCGCGCUUCAACAGAACGCGGUGAAUACGUCCCUGCUCCUU